Bubalus bubalis (water buffalo) is the source of this 516-nucleotide long non-coding RNA. RefSeq lists it as uncharacterized. The transcript is spliced from 2 exons. The record is from RefSeq and is a predicted model, not a curated record. NCBI's taxonomy places the organism in Eukaryota, Metazoa, Chordata, Mammalia, Artiodactyla, Bovidae.
GUCCACCCAGCAGGUCUCCUGGGCAACCCACCCUGACGUCACUGGCAGCUCUGGCGGCUGGCCCAGGAGCUGAAGCAGCUGGUGGCCAGAUCAUGUUUCCAGGUGAACCCCCUCCCCCACUCCAGCUCCCCACCCCCUACCCGGGUGGUGUGGGUGGGACAGUGGGGGAGAAAUAGAGCAGGGCUCAGAGUUGAGGAGCUGCUGGGAAUGGCGUACGUGGCGGGCGGCCUGAAACAGGGCCAGCAUCUGUCCUAGAUAAGGCAGCGGGUGGCCUACUUGAGCCUGUGCUGGAGCUCCCCGGUGGGCACCUCUCCCAGGCUCUGGGGAUCCUGAGACGUUUCCUGGAAAGCAGGCUCCUCAACUUGCUGUGUGAUGGACAUAUGACAACUGAGGGGAAAUGUCCCUCCCAGGGCUCAAUUUCUCCAGCUGUAAAAUGGAACUGCGAAUUGGGCCAACCUGCAGGCAGGCUAACAGGCAGAAGCAAUGAGAGCUUAUUAAACUGCUUCGAAAGUAAAA